Long non-coding RNA from Galeopterus variegatus (Sunda flying lemur), 388 nucleotides. RefSeq lists it as uncharacterized. NCBI's taxonomy places the organism in Eukaryota, Metazoa, Chordata, Mammalia, Dermoptera, Cynocephalidae. The transcript has 2 exons. The record is from RefSeq and is a predicted model, not a curated record.
ACAAAUCUGCACCUUCUGCCUCAGCAACCAGAGAAAGUUGAGCAAGGACCGCGACAGAAAGACAGCGAUUCGAAGUUAGGAGGUGGCCCACAGCACCCAAGAGGCAGCUGCCACUGGAGGAUCUGCAGAGAGCCCCCACUGCGGACCUGACCCAGUGCAGACCUCCUGCGAGCAUGCCCUCUUGUGGGCAGAGACUAUGGAUGGAUGGAUGGACGGACAGACAGACAGGCAGCAGCAGGGCUCUGAGCUGGCCCCAGCACUUGCCCAGGUCCACCGGGACUUUCCAGGACAGAUUCAUACCUGGGUUUCACAUCUUGUGUCUUUGAUAUGAUAAUAUAAAUUCCGGAAAUUUUGUAUAAUUAAAAACAAAACAAUAGCUUCUUCUAAA